AAUUUACUUAACUAAAAAACACACACGUAUCGUCACAUACGUCCGGGGUGCCGCCAUGCGGUUGGGCGAUGGGAUAUGUGGAGGUUAUAACC
Molecule: small RNA, 92 nt
Filed under: Marinobacterium halophilum
Lineage: Bacteria; Pseudomonadati; Pseudomonadota; Gammaproteobacteria; Oceanospirillales; Oceanospirillaceae
Description: t44 RNA
Rfam family: t44 RNA
About the family: This family consists of a number of bacterial RNA genes of between 135 and 170 bases in length. The t44 gene is found between the map and rpsB genes in all species in the full alignment apart from Shigella flexneri.
Source: RNAcentral